This 1150-nucleotide ribosomal RNA is filed under the name Bacillus amyloliquefaciens. RNAcentral describes it as "bacterial SSU rRNA". It matches the Rfam family "Bacterial small subunit ribosomal RNA", at positions 49 to 1184 of the family's 1533-position model. The record is from RNAcentral. Lineage: Bacteria; Bacillati; Bacillota; Bacilli; Caryophanales; Bacillaceae.
UAAUACUGCAAGUCGAGCGAACAGAUGGGAGCUUGCUCCCUGAUGUUAGCGGCGGACGGGUGAGUAACACGUGGGUAACCUGCCUGUAAGACUGGGAUAACUCCGGGAAACCGGGGCUAAUACCGGAUGGUUGUCUGAACCGCAUGGUUCAGACAUAAAAGGUGGCUUCGGCUACCACUUACAGAUGGACCCGCGGCGCAUUAGCUAGUUGGUGAGGUAACGGCUCACCAAGGCGACGAUGCGUAGCCGACCUGAGAGGGUGAUCGGCCACACUGGGACUGAGACACGGCCCAGACUCCUACGGGAGGCAGCAGUAGGGAAUCUUCCGCAAUGGACGAAAGUCUGACGGAGCAACGCCGCGUGAGUGAUGAAGGUUUUCGGAUCGUAAAGCUCUGUUGUUAGGGAAGAACAAGUGCCGUUCAAAUAGGGCGGCACCUUGACGGUACCUAACCAGAAAGCCACGGCUAACUACGUGCCAGCAGCCGCGGUAAUACGUAGGUGGCAAGCGUUGUCCGGAAUUAUUGGGCGUAAAGGGCUCGCAGGCGGUUUCUUAAGUCUGAUGUGAAAGCCCCCGGCUCAACCGGGGAGGGUCAUUGGAAACUGGGGAACUUGAGUGCAGAAGAGGAGAGUGGAAUUCCACGUGUAGCGGUGAAAUGCGUAGAGAUGUGGAGGAACACCAGUGGCGAAGGCGACUCUCUGGUCUGUAACUGACGCUGAGGAGCGAAAGCGUGGGGAGCGAACAGGAUUAGAUACCCUGGUAGUCCACGCCGUAAACGAUGAGUGCUAAGUGUUAGGGGGUUUCCGCCCCUUAGUGCUGCAGCUAACGCAUUAAGCACUCCGCCUGGGGAGUACGGUCGCAAGACUGAAACUCAAAGGAAUUGACGGGGGCCCGCACAAGCGGUGGAGCAUGUGGUUUAAUUCGAAGCAACGCGAAGAACCUUACCAGGUCUUGACAUCCUCUGACAAUCCUAGAGAUAGGACGUCCCCUUCGGGGGCAGAGUGACAGGUGCUGCAUGGUUGUCGUCAGCUCGUGUCCUGAGAUGUUGGGUUAAGUCCCUCAACAACCGCAACCCUUGAUCUUAGUUGCCAGCAUUCAGUUGGGCCCUCUAGGUGACUGCCGGUGACAAGCCGGAACAAGGUGGAGAUGAGG